Molecule: RNA transcript, 7499 nt
Organism: Aedes albopictus (Asian tiger mosquito)
Lineage: Eukaryota; Metazoa; Arthropoda; Insecta; Diptera; Culicidae
Gene: numb
Gene name: protein numb
Exons: 2
Source: RefSeq, a predicted model, not a curated record
UAGAAUAAUUUAAUUUUCUCAUUCCUUACCGAUCGCUUUCAGCAGCCGGUUGUGUUUACCGUGUCUCAUCGCAGGCAAACAAUUUCGUAGCCGGUGGAGUUUUUUCUCCACAAAGUGGUUUUUAUAUCGUGCGCUAUUCCCACCGAGGACGAGAGUGAUUUGCCUAAGGCGAUUAACGCGAUCGUCGUGAAGGAAGUCGACACUAUACGUGUACGAUUCCACCGGUAAUUAAAAACCCACGCCACCGUUUGUGGGCAACAGUUUUCAUCGAGGGCGGCGCGGCGGCGAGUGCGACGAGAGGGACAAACAUCAGCAACGUCAGCUUGUGUGUAUCCGAGUCGUCAUCACCGUGCUACCUACAGUACUGUAUCAAUAGAUAAGUAUUUUCGAUAUACGCUCUCGCCUCAUUGUUCCCAUUCCACAGUCUAUCACGUGAACACGAGAUAGUUGUCUGACUGCUAUUCUAUAGCAGUGGUUCCCAACCCACGUUCUGUGGAACAGUAUAAAAACUUGUAAAAAGUUUUCAAAGUUAUUUUUUUUUGGUUUAUUUCUUUUUCAUUUUGUUCUCUCGUUUUUUAAUUACUUUUGACACUGCAUAGCGUGUGCGUCAAAGUAAACAUAAAUUGAAUUUUAUUUGAACUACCACAUGGACGAUCCGAAUGGAGGCGGAUCGCCUCCUAAAGAUAUUAUUGCUCGGACGCGGUUUUACCAGCCAUCUUCGCCUGGGCCUUGGGUUGUCUAUUUCCGGCGCAAAUGCAAACCUUUGAAUGUGCUCUCAAUCUCUCGAGAGCUGACGCGUAAGUAUCCCGGGACUGUUAUUCACCAAGUGAAACAGUCCAAGCUGCGUGUAACCGCACCUAGUUACAAAGCAGCAAAUGAAAUUGUCCAGCACGAGUUGUUCUCAUGUGAAUAUGCCCUAUACAUAAAUGCACGAGAAGUGGAGGUGGAGGGGAAGAUCCUCGACGAAACGCUGACCUGCGACGACAUCAAGACCGGUGUAGGCCGGUUCAAUAAUAGGUCGAUCGCUGAUGUGAGUAUUCUUGAUUGCAAACCUCUUCAAAAGGCAUCCAUGGAAGGUGACAAGAAAGUUUACUCACCGUCAGGGUCUUUUCGAGUGACAUUCCCAGGCUCCGUCCUCCCAGAAUUUGUGGUAAUUGAUAAUGCUUUUUACACAGUACGUCUUUUUAGGCCGAAGGUUUUUAAUUGUACCAAAUGCAAGCAGUUUGGUCACAGUGCUAGCUUUUGCGACAACAAGCCCCGUUGUGGCAAAUGCAACCAAGCUCAUCUCGACGAGUCUUGCACACAGGAAGCUGAAAAAUGUAGCUACUGUGGUAAAGAACUUCACGACUUGCAAAAAUGCCCGGCCUAUAAAAAGCGUAUUCAAAAUGAGAGUCGCUCCAUAAUUAAGCGCUCCAAGAAGACAUACGCGGAAAUGGUGAAAUCAUCGAAUCCGCCCGCUAUAAUGUCUGAGUCAGCUGUCCCAGUUGAAAAUCCCUAUCAGGAGUUGUCUUCCGAUGAUCAGGACGAUGGCGAAACUGAUGAGGGUGGAUCCUUUUCGGAGGUACACGCAUCCGGAAAAAGGAAGUCACCAUCUUCCCCGGGAUUGCGCCGAAAGGUUUUCAUAAAGUCUUCCCUCAAAAGUUUGACAACUACCAAAGGAGGCGGAGGGAAUUUAAAAACUCCGAAGAAGCAGGUCUCUGAUGGUGCAGUUCCUUGCUGCAGCAAGGACCUAGAACCUCCGCCUCCAACUGUUAAGUAUACUUCAAAAAGAAAUACUCGACAAGGUGGCAAGAAAAAAGCCACAAAAGCUCCUCGAAUUUCAACAAAAUCUAUCAAGCCCAAACGAGGACUGUUCACUUUUAGGGCCCUUGUGGAUCGCUUAUAUGAUGCCCUCGGAAUUUCCGACUCCUUCAGAGGCAUACUAGACAUUUUUCUCCAAGCAGUAGAAGAGUAUCUUCGGAAUUUGACACAAUCAUGGCCCCUCCUUGCUUCGAUCAUAUCUUUUGAUGGAUAAUUCAUCAACCGAGGUCCAGAAUAUGAUCACUGUACUACAGUGGAACUGUCAUAGUUUAAAACCUAAAUUAGACCUGUUUAAAUUUUUGGUUCACAACUCUGAUUGUGAUAUAUUUGCACUUUGUAAAACAUGGCUUUCUUCUGAAGACGAACUCAACUUCCACGACUUCAACAUUAUUCGCCAGGACCGAGAUGACCAUUACGGAGGAGUACUAUUGGGGAUCAAAAAAAGUAACUCAUUUUAUAAAAUUCCAAUCCCAACUCAUCCUGGCGUAGAAAUCGUCGCUUGCCAAAUAAACGUAAAGGGUAAAGAUCUUUGCGUAGCUUCCGUUUACAUUCCUCCAAGAAUUUCUAUUAACCGCCGUCAUCUUUGGAAUGCGAUUUCUGCACUAUCACAUCCAGUUUUAAUUCUGGGUGAUAUGAACGCACAUGGUACAGGGUGGGGCGAACCAUAUGACGAUAAUAGAGCGGCCAUUUUCUAUGAUUUGUGCGACGAUUUCAAUUUGAACAUUUUAAAUACAGGUGAAGUGACACGUAUUGCAUCUGACGGCAAAGAAAGUCGUCUUGACCUAACACUGGGAUCAAGUUCACUAUCAUUCGAUUGCUUGUGGAAGGUAAUCGAGGAUCCUCAUGGUAGUGAUCACUUGCCCAUAAUAACCACCAUAAAGCAUAAUAGUGAAAGGUCAGAUCAACCAAUUCCGGUUCCUUUUGACCUCACAAGGAAUAUCGAUUGGCAAAAAUAUGCAGAAGCGGUAUCUUUUGGCAUCGAAUCAUUCAACCCCCUUCCACCUUUGGAUGAGUAUCGAUUCCUGUCUGAACUGGUAUACAAGAGUGCAUUAGAAUCACAAAAACGACGAGUUCCAAGUGCAAGCUUCAAAAGAAGACCAGCCACACUAGGCUGGGAUGAUGAUUGCACCCAGUUGUAUCUUAAAAAAUCUGAUGCUUUCAAAACUUUUCGUAGGCACGGUACCUCAGAUCUUUAUCAAGAGUACGCUAAGCUCGAAAGACAGCUGAAGAACCUGCUGAAAGCGAAGAAGCGUAGUUAUUGGCGACACUUCAUUGAGGGUCUCUCAAGAGAAACUUCAAUGACAACGCUUUGGAGAGUGGCUCGCAACAUGCGAAACCGCUCUUCUUCUAAUGAGAGUGACGAAUACUCCAACCGUUGGAUAUUCAGCUUCGCGAAAAAGGUCUGCCCAGACUCAGUCCCAGCACAACCGAUUUCUUGGGAAACAUCCCCAAGAGACGGUUCUCUGGACAGACCCUUCACUAUGCUGGAAUUUUCUAUGGCUCUUCUUUCAUCAAACAAUUCCGCUCCGGGACGCGAUAUGAUCAAGUUCAAUCUUCUUAAGAAUCUCCCAGAUAUCGCGAAAAGACGAUUACUAGACCUGUUCAACUCAUUCAUGGAGAACAACAUUGUUCCGCCAGAAUGGAGACAGGUCAAAGUAAUAGCUAUUCAAAAGCCUGGUAAACCAGCGUCUGAUCAUAAUUCAUACCGCCCAAUUGCAAUGUUAUCAUGUUUAAGGAAAUUGUUAGAAAAAAUGAUCCUAUCGCGACUCGACCAUUGGGUUGAAUCGAAUAACUUGCUUUCAAAUACUCAGUUCGGGUUUCGCAAGGGUAAAGGAACAAACGAUUGUCUAGCGUUGCUUUCAUCAGAUAUUCAACUAGCCUUUGCGGAAAAGGAGCAAUUGGCUUCAGUUUUCUUGGACAUUAAGGGCGCUUUUGAUUCAGUUUCCAUAGAAAUAUUGUCAGAAAAACUGCACAAUAGUGGACUACCAGGAACUUUAAGCAAUUUCUUGUAUAAUUUGUUGUCAGAAAAACAUAUGAGCUUCAAUCUCGGACAACUGACUACUUCCAGAAUUAGCUACAUGGGCCUACCCCAAGGCUCAUGUUUAAGUCCCUUGCUUUAUAAUUUUUAUGUGAAAGACAUUGAUAGCUGUCUAGAAGGACAAUGCACGCUAAGACAACUUGCAGAUGAUGCUGUGGUUUCUCUAAAAGGCCCACAUGCAGAAAUGUUGCAAAGACCAUUGCAAAGUUCCUUAAACAAUCUGUCCAUUUGGGCAAGAGAUUUGGGGAUCGAGUUUGCUCCGCAAAAAACUCAAUUGGUUGUGUUUUCCAGAAAGCGGAACCCAGCCCAACUGAAACUCAAUCUUUUGGGAAUAGAAAUCGACCAAUCUUUGACUUCGAAAUACCUUGGGGUCUGGUUUGAUUCAAAAGGCACUUGGGGUACCCAAACUAAGUAUUUGGUGCAAAAAUGUCAGCAAAGGAUCAAUUUUCUACGCACAAUUACCGGAACAUGGUGGGGUGCUCACCCGGAAGACCUCAUAAAACUUUACAAAACGACUAUUCUCUCUGUUCUCGAGUAUGGCUCUUUCUGUUUCCACUCAGCAGCAAACUGCCACCUAAUAAAAUUGGAACGAAUUCAAUAUCGUUGUCUGCGCAUUGCCCUCGGCUGCAUGCACUCAACGCAUAAUGCGAGCCUAGAGGUCCUGGCAGGGGUGAAACCUCUCCAGAACCGCUUCUGGGAACUCUCGCUAAGGUUACUUAUUAAAUGUGGAGUAAGCAACACACUUGUAAUUGAAAACUUCGAAGACAUGCUCAGACUGAACACUCAGUCAAAAUUCAUGAGAAUUUAUCUGUUCUACAUGUCAUCUGACAUAAGCCUCCCAGGUUAUAAUCCUCCUCGUGCACACUUCACCAAUGACAGUUCCUCUGUUAAAUACGAUCUGUCCAUGAAACAAGCAAUUCAUGGAAUACCAGAUCAACUUCGGUGUAUAUCCAUUCCUCGCAUUUUUAACGAAAAGUACCAAAAUGUCAAUUCCUGUAAGAGAUUCUUCACUGAUGGGUCUCGAAUUAAUGGGUCCACUGGCUUCGGUGUCUUCAACGAAAAUUCCACCGCCUUCCGGAAACUUCAAGAACCUUGUUCAGUUUAUGUUGCUGAGCUGGCAGCAAUCGACUUCGCUUUGGGGAUGAUUUCCAACAUGCCCGCAGACCACUUCUUCAUCUUCUCGGAUAGCCUUAGUUCGAUUGAGGCACUCCGGUCGAUGAAACCUGUAAAGCAUGCAUCUUACUUUCUUACAAAAAUAAGAGAGCAGAUGUAUGCACUGGUCGAAAGAUCAUACAAGAUUACCUUUGUAUGGGUCCCCUCACAUUGCUCAAUUUAUGGCAAUGAGAAGGCGGACUCUCUCGCAAAGGUGGGCGCACAGGAAGGUGAGAUCUAUGAUAGAAGAAUUUCACACGAUGAAUUUUUCCAUUUAGUUCGUCAGAGUUCUCUUCAAAGUUGGCAACAUGAUUGGCGAGAUGGCCAACUGGGACGGUGGUUACAUUCUAUUAUUCCUAAUGUUUCUUUGCGAGCGUGGCAUUACGGUUUGGAUGAAGGUCGAGACUUCAUACGUGUGAUGUCAAGACUUAUGUCCAACCAUUACUCGCUAGGCGCGCAUUUGCAUAGAAUAAAUCUUGCGCUCGACAAUAUUUGCACUAAGUGCGGUUCCGGUUAUGAUGACAUCGACCACGUAGUUUGGCAAUGCCCGGAUAAUGACGCCUCCAGAGCGCUACUAUUGGAUACCCUUGAGGCCCGAGGUAGACAACCCUUUGUUCCAGUAAGAGAUGUAUUGGGAACCCGCGAUCUAAUCUAUAUGCGGUCCAUUUAUGAGUUUCUUCGCAUGUGUUGUAUAAAGGUUUAAUCUCCCUAUGUUUUUUCGCUUCAGUUUUUUUUUUCUCUAUGUUUUGUCCUUUUGUGUUUUGUUCCUGGCCAUCCGGCAGAUGAGAAUCCGUGACAAGCCCAUGCCAACACCAGAGGCGACGCAAAAAGCCAUGAUACCUCCCGGAUGUGCUACAGCAAACCCUGAAACCUUAUCCUGACCAUGCCUUUCCUUAAAAAUAUGUGACCCGCUAACCUCGAGCAGCCACGAGUACCCUGGCCUCCACCCAGUACUAACCUUGAUAUAAGAAAGCAAUAUCGUUGUAUGUUAUUGAAUACAAAAAAUGAAUCCCGGCUCCGUAAAGCGUUGAACGCGAUUGAGCCAUAAAUAAACGAACUAGAUAAAAAAAAAAAAAAAAAAUUUAAUUUUCUCACAUUACGAGGAUCGCGAUGGUGCACGGUUCUGAAGUCGAGGGGGAACCCGGUAACCGUUAAGUGCCCUCAAAUUAAUUUCGGUGUUGUUUAUGAUUUCCUCUUUCGAGGAAAAUGUGAAAGUAUAAGCGCCAACGCAAAUGAAUUGAAAAGCAGUGAUUUUUUGUUAAUCAUAUCUUAAAAAGUUACUGAGUCACCUCACGGAGUUCACGCGCAAACAGAAGAGAGAAAAAAUCGAACGGAGCGGCAGCUGCACCGUGACGUGUUUUGAGUGAGACUCGAAUGUCUGGAAGCUGUGGAGCGUUUUUUUUGUUCGUGACAUCGUUAUUUUUUGUCUUCGCAGUGUAUUCAAUAUUGGGUUACCUAAAUUUUAAGGGGUGUGAUUGAUUCACUGUUAUAGUUUGUGCUUGUACGAACAACCCUCCUCUCGUAGGGAAAGUGAAAAGUAAACGGUCUGCUCCAACAAGUGCUGCAAGAAGAAAUACCACUACUGCGUACAUGGCGUUGAAUUGAGUGAUUUUAAAUGGAUUUAUGAGCGGAAUUAUGAGCGGAAGUUGGUGUAUUUAAUACAUGUUUGGUUUAAUUGAAAUGCGUUCUGAAGCAUAUGACGGUGUUCUGAGAUGUUUGCUCGUUACCUACUUUGUACGGAGGAUAUGCGUUAAGAUUUACGACUCUGUAACUGUGGAAGAAGCGCGAGCAAAUCCUGCGUGAUUUACAAUCAUUUCGUGCUUGGAAAUGUUGUGCAAAAGAUUGUUUGUGUGAUAUUGUAUGGAACAGUGAAGUUAGUCAUCGUGGUGAUACUCUUUGUGAAUCGGAAUCAGGUGGGAUGAUCUGUUAUUGGAGUGAUGAUUCAUCUAUGGAAGUGGAUUCACAAAAUAUCUGUGCUAGUAUAGUAGUGGAAUAUAAAUCUUAAAUACUUAUCAAAGAGCUUUUUCCAUCCAGCCCCAACCGCGCGAAAAGAAAGAUUUCGCUGGAACCCGUUCAGCCGUCGCAUCGCAUCGCAUCGCGUCUCGUCAAGAAGCGGAAAAGGUCAACGAGACGAUACACAACGACUUGGAGCGAUACAUUUAAUUCCUCUAUGAGACUCCGGUGUGGUGACUGCCGUAGUCACCGUCAGCGUCGCAGUGCCAUAACAGUCAAUUGGUUGUGAAGUAGCGCAGCAUCGACUUUGCGUUUCAUCUGCCACAGAGUGUGCGGAACACACUGUCGUCCGGGCCAGGACAGACAACGACGAAACGAAAUCUCAUGAAUGUGAUAAUUAAUCAACCUUAGAAUUUAUUAACUCCCAACUAUUUUCUGCACUGGACGUUUGGAAUUGUAUUCCAGUAGUAUCAUUGUUUUUUUGUUGAAUUGCAUGAGAACCGCACUUUAGUGCUCUCGGGAAGAGAAUAGUUAAUUAUUUAUUCGACGAAAGUUG